RNAcentral lists this ribosomal RNA (330 nucleotides) under uncultured bacterium. RNAcentral's name for it is "bacterial SSU rRNA". It matches the Rfam family "Bacterial small subunit ribosomal RNA", at positions 28 to 342 of the family's 1533-position model. The record is from RNAcentral.
GAUGAACGCUAGCGAUAGGCCUAACACAUGCAAGUCGAGGGGCAUCACAUGAAGUAGCAAUACGGAUGGUGGCGACCGGCGCACGGGUGAGUAACGCGUAUGCAACCUGCCUACAACAGGGGGGAUAACCCGUUGAAAAGACGGACUAAAUACCCCCAUAAACACAGGGGUCCCGCAUGGGAAAUAUUUGUUAAAAGAUUUAUCGGUUGUAGAUGGGCAUGCGUUCCAUUAGCUAGUUGGUGAGGUAAGGGCUCACCAAGGCAACGAUGGAUAGGGGAACUGAGAGGUUUAUCCCCCACACUGGGUACUGAGACACGGACCAGACUCUAC